Molecule: long non-coding RNA, 1317 nt
Filed under: Chloebia gouldiae (Gouldian finch)
Lineage: Eukaryota; Metazoa; Chordata; Aves; Passeriformes; Passeridae
Description: Erythrura gouldiae (Gouldian finch) lncRNA (ENSEGOG00005011770.1)
Source: RNAcentral
CCCAGUUUGGUCAUUUCCGGUUUUGGUUUGGGGGGAUCGGACUGGGAGGGACUGGGAGGAACUGCUUUGGACUGGUUUGGACUGGUUUGGACUGGUUUGGACUGGUUUGGACUGGUUUGUACUGGUCUAUACUGGUUUAUACUGGUUUAUACUGGUUUGUACUGGUCUAUACUGGUCCCAUUCUGGUUUUUACUGGUUUUUACUGGUCCAUAUUGGUCCAUACUGGUUUAUACUGGUUUAUACUGGUCUAUACUGGUUUAAACUGGUUUAAACUGGUUUAUACUGGUCCCACACUGGUCCCAUUCUGGUCCGUACUGGUCCAUACUGGUUUAUACUGGUUUAUACUGGUUUGUACUGGUUUAAACCAGUCCCAUACUGGUCCCAUACUGGUCCCAAACUGGUCCAUACUGGUUUGUACUGGUCCCAAACUGGUUUUUACUGGUCCCACACUGGUCUAUACUGGUUUUUACUGGUCCCAAACUGGUCUGUACUGGUCUAUACUGGUCUAUACUGGUUUUUACUGGUUUGUACUGGUCCCACACUGGUCCAUACUGGUCUAUACUGGUUUUUACUGGNNNNNNNNNNGGUCUGUACUGGUCCAUACUGGUCCAUACUGGUUUUUCCUGGUCCCACACUGGUCCAUACUGGUCUAUACUGGUUUUUACUGGUCCAUACUGGUUUAUACUGGUCCCACACUGGUUCAUACUGGUCCAUACUGGUCUAUGCUGGUUUUUACUGGUCCAUACUGGUCCAUACUGGUCCCAAACUGGUCCCACACUGGUCUGUACUGGUCCAUACUGGUCCAUACUGGUCCAUACUGGUUUCUCCUGGUCCGUGCUGGUUUAUACUGGUCCAUACUGGUUUAUACUGGUCUGUACUGGUCUAUACUGGUCCUUACUGGUUGAACCGCCCCGGUGCCGCCGCAGUGCAGCAGGAGCAGACCCGGCUCCAUUUCGGGAUCCGGCAGCACCAGCGGGAGCACGAGGAGCUCAACGGUAACGGACGGAAUGCCCAAAUCCCGGAAUUCCCGAAUUCCCAAAAUCCCGAAUUCCUGAAAUCCUUAAUUCCCAAAAUCCUGAAUUCCCAAUUCCUGAAUUCCCAAUUCCUGAAUUCCCGAAUUCCCGAAUUCCCAAAUUCCCCAAUUCCCGAAUUCCCAAAAUCCUGAAUUCCUGAAUUCCCAAAUUCCCAAUGCCCAACUCCUGAAUUCCUGAAUUCCCAAUUCCCAAUUCCCAAUUCCUGAAUUCCUGAAUUCCUGAAUUCCCAAAUUCCCAAUUCCCAAUUCCUGAAUUCCUGAAUUCCCAAAAUCCUGAAUUCCUG